AGAGUUUGAUCCUGGCUCAGAAUGAACGCUGGCGGCGUGCUUAACACAUGCAAGUCGUACGAGAAAUCCUUGGCUUGUCAGGGAGAGUAAAGUGGCGCACGGGUGAGUAUCGCGUGGGUAAUCUGCCCUUGAAUUCAGGAUAACACUUCGAAAGGGGUGCUAAUACUGGAUAAUAUCCUUUUGGUUUAGGCUGAAAGGAUCAAAGAUAGCCUCUACAUGUAAGCUAUUGUUUAGGGAUGAGCCCACGUGCCAUUAGCUUGUUGGUAGGGUAACGGCCUACCAAGGCGACGAUGGUUAGCUGGUCUGAGAGGAUGGCCAGCCACACUGGAACUGAGACACGGUCCAGACUCCUACGGGAGGCAGCAGUGGGGAAUCUUGCGCAAUGGGGGAAACCCUGACGCAGCAACGCCGCGUGGGUGAUGAAGGCCUUCGGGUCGUAAAGCCCUGUCAGGUGGGAAGAAACUUGUCGAUGCGAAUAUCAUCGACACUUGACGGUACCACCGGAGGAAGCACCGGCUAACUCCGUGCCAGCAGCCGCGGUAAUACGGAGGGUGCAAGCGUUGUUCGGAAUUAUUGGGCGUAAAGCGCGUGCAGGCGGUCGGGUAAGUCAGAUGUGAAAGCCUUCCGCUUAACGGAAGAAGUGCAUUUGAAACUGCUCGGCUAGAGUACGGGAGAGGAGAGUGGAAUUCCCGGUGUAGAGGUGAAAUUCGUAGAUAUCGGGAGGAACACCAGUGGCGAAGGCGGCUCUCUGGUCCGAUACUGACGCUGAGACGCGAAAGCGUGGGGAGCAAACAGGAUUAGAUACCCUGGUAGUCC
RNAcentral lists this ribosomal RNA (816 nucleotides) under uncultured bacterium. Its description in RNAcentral is "bacterial SSU rRNA". It matches the Rfam family "Bacterial small subunit ribosomal RNA", at positions 8 to 796 of the family's 1533-position model. The record is from RNAcentral.